Long non-coding RNA from Xyrauchen texanus (razorback sucker), 444 nucleotides. RefSeq lists it as uncharacterized. The transcript has 3 exons. The record is from RefSeq and is a predicted model, not a curated record. Lineage: Eukaryota; Metazoa; Chordata; Actinopteri; Cypriniformes; Catostomidae.
CACAGCAUCAUUUGAAUUUUUACUAGUCAAGCAGAGCUGAUGAUGACCUUUCUCUGGUGCGUAAGUGCAGCCCAGCAGAUGGUGGAAAAUUGGAAGGACUGUCUGGGCCAUACGGAGCAUAUGCAGUGAGUUUGUGGAGCCCCGGCGUAGUGCGGUGGAGCCCGGGACGUGGACGCCCGCCCGGUGAGACUGGCACAGCUUGCUGACAUUGGCACGAUGCAAAGGGACAAUCCCCCCCCGGAGAAACCUGGAGUGCCUUGCUCAAGAACACAAUGGUGGUGGCCGUGGGGUUCGAACCAGUGUCCUUCUGAUUACCAGAUUACCAUGGGUUCACACUGAGGGACACAGGUGGCUCAAUCUCAACAGGGCUGUGGAGACAAUUUGUCAAGACCCCUUGCCAUGAUUAACCUCCCUCCACAUCAGAGCAGCAAAAAGUGGAAGAAG